GACGAACGCUGGCGGCGUGCCUAACACAUGCAAGUGGAGCGACGAACCAGGCUUCGGCCUGGGGCAAGGCCGCGAACGGGUGAGUAACACGUGGGUAACCUGCCCUGAUGAUUGGGACAACCCGAGGAAACUCGGGCUAAUACCGAAUGUGCCCUCCGGCCUCAAGGCCGCUGGGGAAAGGAAGCUUCGGCCUCCGCAUCGGGAUGGGCCCGCGGCCCAUUAGCUUGUUGGUGAGGUAACGGCNCACCAAGGCGACGAUGGGUAGCUGGUCUGAGAGGACGAUCAGCCACACUGGGACUGAGACACGGCCCAGACUCCUACGGGAGGCAGCAGUGGGGAAUCUUGCGCAAUGCGCGAAAGCGUGACGCAGCAACGCCGCGUGGGGGAAGAAGGCCUC
This 397-nucleotide ribosomal RNA is filed under the name uncultured bacterium. RNAcentral's name for it is "bacterial SSU rRNA". It matches the Rfam family "Bacterial small subunit ribosomal RNA", at positions 28 to 418 of the family's 1533-position model. The record is from RNAcentral.